This 2795-nucleotide long non-coding RNA is filed under the name Catharus ustulatus (Swainson's thrush). RNAcentral's name for it is "lncRNA (ENSCUSG00005010539.1)". The record is from RNAcentral. Lineage: Eukaryota; Metazoa; Chordata; Aves; Passeriformes; Turdidae.
GAUUCACCAACCCAGUCAGUAAAUUUUGAGAAUUCCACAGAGGGGAAAUAAAGAAAGAAUAUAAUUCCUCAUGACCUUACCUCGAGCCCAUUCCCACCAUGAAGGAGCCAGGAUCACAGAAGAUUUGGCACCACUAGAAUAUGGGUUAUAGUUUGUGAGGAUCCCAAACUCCCUGCAGUGCUAAACUCCAUAAAUCCAGGGCAGAUGUUGCCUCGUAUUUGGACUGAACACAGAGCUACAACAUCCACACACAUCGUGGUUCCUUUGGUGGUUUUUAUUGUUAAGAGGGGUUCCCAAUGUGCUGGGAGAAAACUUCUUUCCUUUGGUCUCAUUUUGUCUUUACAAAAUUUGCCUUUUGCUGCCUCCAGUCUUGGAAACUGAAUUUUAGGUGCUGGUCAGAAAAUCUUCAUGAACAACCAAGCACAGAAAGGUAACAACCACCUCAGUUUCCAAAUAUUUCCUCAAUUCACACCAUGAAGAAAUAGAGAGAGAAAAAAAUACCUUUAUACAGGAAAUUAUUCACAGAAAUCACAAUCUAAGCAGGGGAAAUGCUAAAUUUGAGAAGUAAAUUAGUCAUUUAUAAUAUGCACUCAGAUCUAGACUGAGAUGUGCUAUUAACUCAUUUUAAGCUGCAAAACUCUGGGGACAAAAGCCACAUUUUCCAUGUUGGGGCUUGCAGAGUCAAAUUUAAACCCAUUAAUGGUACUCACCAAGCGCCAGUGGCCUCAUUGAGCAAGGCAGAGCAAAUUCCAUUUAUCCAAGGUUCUUCUUCCAGUAAGGAACAGUUAUCAGCCUACAUAAAACCUGAAUUAAAAACCUGAAUUUAAAAUAGGGUGUGUAAAAAGUAGCCAGGAGCCCUUCCCUCCCUGGAGAUCCCAGUUUUCCCAACAAACAGGCGGAUUGUGAGGAGCCAUUGUGUAUUAUUUUCUGCUGGUAAAUGACUUGGUUCCUGUGUCUGCAGCACUGCAGGGGACACUCCAGCUUGGGGACAGAUCUCCAGCUGGGCUGUCCAGCUCAGAGCCUCUCCCAGGGAGCUCAGGGAGUUCCAUUCCUUGGCACCAAAAGGAUGGGAAGGAAAGGAGCCUCUCCAACAUCAGCAGGCAGCGCCCAGCAUGAAUGAGCAUCAUUGGUGCCUGAUCCCCACUCAGACACAGAGGAAUUUCUGGAAUCCUGCAGCCAACCAAGCACUGCUCUGCCUCCUGAGAUCGGACACAAAUGUUAUUUGGAAAUAGCAAGAGUGACUUCUGCUGGCACCAACGCCUCAGAAUUUGGAUUAACUGCACUUUGGGUCAUUUUCUUAUAAGGAAAAAAAAACCCCUUGAUAUUUAAUUUAAAAAUGUUUCAAGAAUAGACGUUCAGGUAUUGAUCACUGCAGGCAUCAGAUUGCUUUUAAAAAGAGGUUUUUAUGAAUUAUCAUAAGAGCCUAAUGUCCAGCAAAGGUAGUGGUGUGAGAAUUACAUCCCCAGCUGUACCACAGACCUGUUUCCAUCAAUGACCUAAGGACUCAUUUAAAGUUACAUGAGGAAUUAAAAUGGAUUUCUAUUUUUUUUCUACAUUUUUUAGUGCAAAAAGCAGCGCAUAACUUUUUUGGAAGAGCUCCUGUCAACACUAAAGAAAAACAUUCUCCCCUUUCCAGGAGACCUUCCCACACCACUGUGCUCCUAAACUGGUGAGACACAACACACAAAGUCUUCCUUAACUCUGAAAAUAAGAAAAGUAUAAAUACAAGUAUUAUUAAUCCUGUGCUUUUAAGAUUAAUAAACCACAUGAAGCCUCUCCAAAUGGUGCCUCUAACUCAAUAAACACAGCCCACACAAGCCAGGUGAGUGUCCAAGGGUGAACCCAGCCUUGCGCUCUGCACUCAUUAAUUAAUUUUGUUCAUAACCUCAGAGGAUGACACUUCUUUAGCAGACUUGAAGCAGGGCAGUGCCUGCAUCUCCCCAGGGCCAGGAGAGGCUCCCCAUGGCCAGCAGCAGGACAGAUCACCACUGGAUCCCAUCAUUCCACAACCACAGGAAUCCAAGUUUUGUUCGCCAACCCUUCACCCUCCCAUCCUGCUCUGGACAUUUCCAUUUGAAAUCAGGAUCUGUCACUCCCCAAAACCAAGUAUUUUUCUUUUCUGUCUGAACCUGAAUGAAAAAAAAUCCUGAAUCCCCAGGUGCCUGACAUCAAAGUGGCAUAGAAGGAGCUCCUGGGAUGGUGUUGUGGCAUUAAUGCUGCUCUGGAAAGGGAGAGCAGAUGGGCAGCGAGGAAGCAAAUCCUGUUGAAAUAUGAUUAAGUGACACUGAAGAUAAGGAAAACCAUGAAAACUAAAGGGCAGGUAAAGAGAUUUUAAGUGCAAUAUAAAAGGGGAUUUGUGGCACAUGUAAUUCUACCUUUAAAUGUUUAUUAAACAUAGAUUUGGGGUUUUCACCUCUCAUUUAUAGCUACAGAUCAUUUUGUUUCUCUCUGUGCUGUCUACAGGGAUUAGCCAAAGCUGAAGGUUCUUGGUGCUUUUGUAUCUACUGGAUGUCUGUUUUAUUCUCCCUCGAAAAAUACAUUUCCAAUUACAGAUGAAAACAGGAGGCAGAAAGAGAAGAAUAAAGUAUCUCCAACAUUCCCAGAAAAAAAGCCCAUGAUUUCAUGGAAGACGAUGGUUUCACUUCAACCAUGCCCCAAAUCAAGAUUUAUCCAACUCCAUCUUUGACCAGGCAAAUCUGCUUUCUGAUCAUCUCAUUUCUUACCUGUUGUGUGCCAAAUUGAUAGAGAGCACUGAUUUGUUUCUAUUUGGCCAAACCUAUGUAUUUUCCUGUACU